GGGCGAAGCCUGAUGCAGCGACGCCGCGUGAGGGAUGACGGCCUUCGGGUUGUAAACCUCUUUCAGCAGGGAAGAAGCGAAAGUGACGGUACCUGCAGAAGAAGCGCCGGCUAACUACGUGCCAGCAGCCGCGGUAAUACGUAGGGCGCAAGCGUUGUCCGGAAUUAUUGGGCGUAAAGAGCUCGUAGGCGGCUUGUCACGUCGGUUGUGAAAGCCCGGGGCUUAACCCCGGGUCUGCAGUCGAUACGGGCAGGCUAGAGUUCGGUAGGGGAGAUCGGAAUUCCUGGUGUAGCGGUGAAAUGCCGCAGAUAUCAGGAGGAACACCGGUGGCGAAGGCGGAUCUCUGGGCCGAUACUGACGCUGAGGAGCGAAAGCGUGGGGAGCGAACAGGAUUAGAUACCCUGGUAGUCCACGCCGUAAACGGUGGGCACUAGGUGUGGGCAACAUUCCACGUUGUCCGUGCCGCAGCUAACGCAUUAAGUGCCCCGCCUGGGGAGUACGGCCGCAAGGCUAAAACUCAAAGGAAUUGACGGGGGCCCGCACAAGCGGCGGAGCAUGUGGCUUAAUUCGACGCA
RNAcentral lists this ribosomal RNA (575 nucleotides) under Streptomyces sp. MR7-40. RNAcentral describes it as "bacterial SSU rRNA". It matches the Rfam family "Bacterial small subunit ribosomal RNA", at positions 373 to 958 of the family's 1533-position model. Lineage: Bacteria; Bacillati; Actinomycetota; Actinomycetes; Kitasatosporales; Streptomycetaceae. The record is from RNAcentral.